AUCUUCUUAGUACUAAAAAGUAUAGGUGACUUCCAAUCACUCGGCCUUGGUUAGAAUCCAAGAGAAGAUA
This 70-nucleotide transfer RNA is filed under the name Eviota ocellifer (ocellated dwarfgoby). RNAcentral's name for it is "tRNA-Gly". It matches the Rfam family "tRNA". Rfam says of the family: Transfer RNA (tRNA) molecules are approximately 80 nucleotides in length. Their secondary structure includes four short double-helical elements and three loops (D, anti-codon, and T loops). Lineage: Eukaryota; Metazoa; Chordata; Actinopteri; Gobiiformes; Gobiidae. The record is from RNAcentral.